This 494-nucleotide ribosomal RNA is filed under the name uncultured bacterium. RNAcentral describes it as "partial 16S ribosomal RNA". It matches the Rfam family "Bacterial small subunit ribosomal RNA", at positions 28 to 507 of the family's 1533-position model. The record is from RNAcentral.
GACGAACGCUGGCGGCGUGCUUAACACAUGCAAGUCGAACGGUGAAGCGCCUUCCUUUUUGGUGGGUGUGGAAGAGUGGCGAACGGGUGAGUAACACGUGAGUAACCUGCCCCCUUCUUCUGGAUAACCGCAUGAAAGUGUGGCUAAUACGGGAUAUUCUGGGUUUGUCGCAUGAUGGGUCUGGGAUAGCUAUUGUUUCGGUGGGGGAUGGGCUAGCGGCCUAUCAGCUUGUUGGUGGGGUGAUGGCCUACCAAGGCGGUGACGUGUAGCCGGCUUGAGAGGGUGGACGAUCUCAUUGGGACUGUGACACGGCACUUACGUCUGCGCGAUGCAGCAGUGAGGAAUAGUGCAGACUGGGCGCGAGGCUGAUGCAGCGACGCCGCGUGGGGGAUGGAGGCCUUCGGGUUGUGAACCUCUUUCGCGAUAGAAGCAAGCCUGCCUCGUGUGUGGAGGGGUUGACGGUAGAUGGAGAAGAAGCGCCGGCUAACUACGUG